RNAcentral lists this ribosomal RNA (250 nucleotides) under uncultured bacterium. Its description in RNAcentral is "partial 16S ribosomal RNA". It matches the Rfam family "Bacterial small subunit ribosomal RNA", at positions 524 to 776 of the family's 1533-position model. The record is from RNAcentral.
UACAGGGGGUGCAAACGUUGCUCGGAAUUAUUGGGCGUAAAGCGUGCGCAGGCGGUGAUGUAAGACAGAUGUGAAAUCCCCGGGCUCAACCUGGGAACUGCAUUUGUGACUGCAUCGCUGGAGUACGGCAGAGGGGAUGGAAUUCCGCGUGUAGCAGUGAAAUGCGUAGAUAUGCGGAGGAACACCGAUGGCGAAGGCAAUCCCCUGGGCCUGUACUGACGCUCAUGCACGAAAGCGUGGGAGCAACAGG